AGUUUGAUCCUGGCUCAGGACGAACGCUGGCGGCGUGCCUAAUGCAUGCAAGUCGCACGCGCUCCCUUCGGCGGGUGAGUGGCGCACGGCUGAGUAACACGUGGGAACCCGCCCCCCGGUGGGGGAUAACGCGACGAGAGUCGCGCUAAUCCCGCAUACGUCCGCAGGGGGAAAGCGCUUCGGCGCGCCGGGGGAGGGGCCUGCGGCCCAUCAGGUCGUUGGUGGGGUAACGGCCUACCAAGCCGAUGACGGGUAGCUGGUCUGGGAGGAUGACCAGCCAGACUGGGACUGAGACACGGCCCAGACUCCUACGGGAGGCAGCAGCAAGGAAUUUUCGGCAAUGGGCGCAAGCCUGACCGAGCAACGCCGCGUGCGGGAUGACGGCCUUCGGGUUGUGAACCGUUUUUCGGGGGGACGAUGAUGACGGUACCCCCGGAACAAGCCCCGGCUAACUCUGUGCCAGCAGCCGCGGUAAGACAGAGGGGGCGAGCGUUGUCCGGAGUCACUGGGCGUAAAGCGCGCGCAGGCGGUCGCCAAAGUGUCGUGUGAAAGCCCCCGGCUCAACCGGGGGAGGCCAUGGCAAACUCGGCGACUGGAGCGGCGGAGAGGCCCCUCGAAUUGCCGGUGUAGCGGUGAAAUGCGUAGAGAUCGGCAGGAAGACCAAGGGGGAAGCCAGGGGGCUGGCCGCUGGCUGACGCUGAGGCGCGACAGCGUGGGGAGCGAACCGGAUUAGAUACCCGGGUAGUCCACGCCGUAAACAAUGACCACUCGGCGUGCGGCGACUAUUGACGUCGCGGUGCGCCUUAGCUCACGCGCUAAGUGGUCCGCCUGGGAACUACGAGCGCAAGCUUAAACUCAAAGGAAUUGACGGGGG
RNAcentral lists this ribosomal RNA (874 nucleotides) under uncultured bacterium. RNAcentral's name for it is "bacterial SSU rRNA". It matches the Rfam family "Bacterial small subunit ribosomal RNA", at positions 10 to 919 of the family's 1533-position model. The record is from RNAcentral.